UUAAAGUUAUUUGCAUAAUUCACUUAGACACUUUAUCUUAAGCUUGUUCCAAUUGAACAUCUUUAUUAGUUAAAAAAUAUAUCUAUCGAACAUUUUAUGACAAUAAACUAAAAAUAGAGAGGGUGUGUUAUACACUCGCGAAUGAUGUGGCAUAGUGACCAAUAAAAAAAAAAGACAUGUGGCAUGGACCCAUAAUAACAAUUCAAGAAAAAAAUAAAAUGAAAUUAUGUUUUUAGCCCCCCCCAAAAAAAAGGAAAAGAAAAAAAUCAUUCUUCCCCAAUUUCUUUUAAGCACAAUAUCCC
This 302-nucleotide long non-coding RNA is filed under the name Solanum tuberosum (potato). RNAcentral's name for it is "long non-coding RNA (STUB_LNC003783)". The record is from RNAcentral. Lineage: Eukaryota; Viridiplantae; Streptophyta; Magnoliopsida; Solanales; Solanaceae.